CUCCCUGUAGAGUUUUACCCCCUGCUCCUCUGGCCGCCCUCCAGAUGGAUCUUUGUGUUGCCAGGCAGGAAUGGGCUGCUUGGGGACCCAGUGAGCUCCGAGGGCCUUUCUGCUGCUUCCUGUACCCCUGUAUUUCGCUCAGCUCUCCGACUUGACUCAGCUCCAGGAGGAAUCUGCAUAGAUUAGAGGAAAAAGUUAAAAGGAGUAUGAAUGAAAAAACUACGUGUACAAGAUGUCCAAGAUGAACAAAACUAUACAAUAAAGUUCAUUUCAAUAUACAACAUGUAUUAUAUUCAACAAGGCUCAAAUUUUUUGUAUUAUAUUCAACAUGUAUUAUAUUCAACAUGUAUUAUAUUCAACAUGUAUUAUAUUCAACAAGGCUCAAAUUUUUUGAUAAAAGGAAAUAGACACCUCUUUUUCUAGCAGGAAGAUAUUUUUCUUGGGAAGUUUUGUUUAUGCUGGCUUGAAUAACACUAUGAAAUAUUCUUUCAUUAAUAUUACAUGCUUAUGGAACUUUACCUAACUUUACCUUUACCAUUAAAAGCAUCUACCCCUGGAGAAAGAGCCCAAUGAGAAGUAAUCUCUGAAGCCCAGAUUUCCUAAGGAUGAAGCUUCAGGAGAGGUCUUAUCAAU
Molecule: long non-coding RNA, 633 nt
Filed under: Pongo abelii (Sumatran orangutan)
Lineage: Eukaryota; Metazoa; Chordata; Mammalia; Primates; Hominidae
Description: lincRNA
Source: RNAcentral